GUGAUACUUGAGCUUUAUAAUUAUAAGAUGCUAGAAGAUAAUGAAAUUAAGAUUUUAAAUAUCAUGCCCUAUUUAAAUGGCAGUUGUUUUUGGCUGGAUUAGGAGUCAGCACAGGGUUUCGCUCUGUUGGGUAAAUACUCAUCAGCCUGUGAUGACACCGUGAUUAGUGGGUCUCGGUCGGAAAUGAGAUUGCCUUUGCUACCUGGAGCUCCAGCUCCUGGCGUCUUUCAGGCCACCUGGGGAGAAAUCACAGGACUACACAAGGCGUCGUGGUAGCACCGGGGCAGGUUGCUGGAGCCGCUGAGAACAGCUGUCCCUAGCUCAGGGUUAGAGUCGAAUGGGAAACCUGGGUAAUUGGAUCAACAGCCAGAUGUAAUUGCCAACAAACAACAGAGUGAAGUUCCGGCUGAUGAGCUUGCAGCGCAAUUAUUUGCUUUAAUGAAAGAGCACAGUUCGCUCCAGGGGCAGAAACUGCACACGGCCCGCAGUGUCCGUGCAGGUGCUCCGGACCCCUGCAGGUGCAGCCCCGGCCAUUCCUGCCCCAGUGACUUCGGGGUGCUCAUCAUCCCCACUUUAGGGGUGGAGGGACCUGAGGUUCACAGAGCCGCCUUCCUGUGUGCAACGCCACCCAGCGAAGGGCAGAGCUGAAAUUCAGGCCUCAUUCUAGGUCGUCUCCAGGAGACGAUUCUGCAAAGAAAUCUGAGCCAUUAGCGCCGCGCCUCUACAGCCUCCCCAGUGCAGUCAGUGGCUAGGGCCUGGAAGAGGCGAGGCCCAUCCACCUGCACAGAGGAAAACCUCCCUGUACUGCCUCCCACCCGGCCCUGUUCAGAGCGCCCUCUGCCGGCCCCUCGGGGAGGAUGAAGACCAGAGCAGCGAGACCCCCCCCCCCCCAGGCCCGCGCCCUCUAACGUCUGCGACGGGGAAGGCGGCGCGGCGCGCCGCACGUGCAGGUGCGGAAGCAGCCGCACCUGGGUCCACAGCCCCGCCCCGCGCGGCCCCUCAGCCGCCUUUGCGCAAUCCCGCUUCACUUCCUUUCCUGUCCUGCCCCUCCUCUCCGUUUCUAAUAGUGCAGUUAAGUCGAUGAACUUUCUUGUCCCCAGAUUCACAAGCAGCAGUGGCCACCCUGGGUGUGGGUCGGGAGUCGCCAUGGGGCUGUCUGGUUCCACACGAGGCACACGGGGAAGACAGGGAAUCGGAAUGAAGAGCAGGCCAGCUUUGCAGCGGGGCACAGAGCCUGGCCAGGGUGUCCACCUCGGAGCUGGCGGAGUGGCCCCUGCCUUAGGAGAGUCAGAGGCCUCUGCAGGGUGGACGCGACACGCCCGCAGGCGCUCAGAAAGAUGCGAAGCAGAGCUCGGCCUCGCAGGCCCAGCCAGAGAAGGCUCAGGCAGGGCCACGGGCACGGACCCUCGGCCAGACCCCGGCCACAGGGGCAGCGCACGCCCGCAAGUUGUAUUAGCUUUCCUGUGGCUCAGACACGACUCCUGACAGCUGUACCUCGAGGAGGAGAGGUUUAGUUUGCUGGAGAUUUCAGCCCAUGCUGGGGGGGGGCUCCGAGGGAGAACCGUCGUGGCGGGUCGGUGGGAGGAGCAGGGGCAGCACCAGAAGGGCGGGGUGAGAGGUCAGAUAGACCCCACGGCCGUGAUCCCGCCAGGCUGUGUUCCACUCCCCCAUGCGCCACACCGUGGGGUGAGUUUAGCUGCACGUGGGCUGCUCCCCGCAGGCUGGCAAAGUUAACCCUUGUUUGGGCCUAGGACAUCGGCUGGGCCGCCUGCGCGCUGGGACGUCUGGCUGUGGGGUUGCACGGUGGCUUGGAGUGUGAGGGCCCCGUAAGAGAAGCGGUCAAACGCGUGCAGACGCAACUGGGUGCUGAAGAAAAGGAACUGCUCCACCGCGGCCAGGAGCUUCAGGACUGGAUCGGGACAGCCAGAAUGACAGUCGAGCAGAGUGACAUCACGCAGGGAACGCCAGAGCCAGCUGGAACAGCAAACUGGAGGGUUCUUCUAUUUCCCUGGGCAGGGACCCGAGGCACGGGAAGCGGGGUGACCGGAUGCAGGGCCCUCGGGGAGGGGAGGCCAGGUGAGGGCCUGGCGCUUCCUCCCAGCCCGGCUUGUUAUCGCUGCUGACCCGGGACGACGUGCGGCGGCUUUUCUGGGUGGUUAUUACGCGAACACACUCACGGCGGGAAACAUCUGUUGUUGGACACAGCACUGUAGGCACAGCCGUGCCUGGUUGGCGGCCCCCAGCACCGGUGCGGAGGGGCAGCAAGGCCAGCACCACACCCGGCCUCCACGCGCACCUGCACCUGGGGCCCUGCAGAACCCCGACAGCGACUGAGGGGGACGCACGGGCAGGUGGGUGCGGCACAGAGGCAGCUGCUGGGGGCCAGCUGUGCUCUGGUAGCCUGGGAAGAGAGCAGAGGGGGAGCUCUUCUCACGGGGCAG
RNAcentral lists this long non-coding RNA (2441 nucleotides) under Heterocephalus glaber (naked mole-rat). RNAcentral's name for it is "lncRNA (ENSHGLG00000046488.1)". Lineage: Eukaryota; Metazoa; Chordata; Mammalia; Rodentia; Bathyergidae. The record is from RNAcentral.